GUUCCUCCCCAAUUUCCUGUGGGUCUCCCCACAGCCCCCCUCCCACCUGCCGCAUUCUCUUUUCAGACACAGGACGGAUGCCCAGAACCCUCCGUCUCAGAGAUGCUGCAACUGCUGCUGCCCCCACUGUGGGCAGGUGCUCCAAAGAACCCAGACAUCAGUGUCUGUCUAGGGGAUGACACAGGUGGCUGUUAGUACAUUCACAAUGAUGUCCAACCAUCACAACUGUCUACUUCCAUCCAUCCAACAUCUUCAUCACCCCAAAGAGAAACCCUGUGCCAUGAAGCAGUCACUCUCCACGCUCCCCUCCCCCAGCCCCUGCAACCGCUACUCUACUUUCUGUUUCUAUGCAUUUGCCUAUUCUGGACGUUUCAUAUAAAUGGAAUUUUACAAAAUGUGGCCUUUCGUGUCUGGUUUCUUUCACUUCACAAAAUGUUUUCAAGGUUGACCCACAUAGAAUGUAUCAGUGAUUUUUUUCUUUUUUGUUUGAGUAAUAUCACAUUGUGUGGAUGUACCAGACUUUGUUCACACAUUGAUCAGUCGAUGGACAUUUGGGUCAUUUCCA
RNAcentral lists this long non-coding RNA (565 nucleotides) under Equus asinus (donkey). RNAcentral describes it as "lncRNA (ENSEASG00005026879.1)". Lineage: Eukaryota; Metazoa; Chordata; Mammalia; Perissodactyla; Equidae. The record is from RNAcentral.